CCAGACUCCUACGGGAGGCAGCAGUGGGGGAUAUUGCACAAUGGGGGGAACCCUGAUGCAGCGACGCCGCGUGGGUGAAGGAGCGUUUCGGUACGUAAAGCCCUAUCAGCAGGAAAGAAAAUGACGGUACCUGACUAAGAAGCCCCGGCUAACUACGUGCCAGCAGCCGCGGUAAUACGUAGGGGGCAAGCGUUAUCCGGAUUUACUGGGUGUAAAGGGAGCGUAGACGGCAGUGCAAGUCCGGAGUGAAAGCCCGGGGCUCAACCCCGGGACUGCAUUUGGAACUGUAAGGCUAGAGUGUCGGAGAGGCAGGCGGAAUUCCUAGUGUAGCGGUGAAAUGCGUAGAUAUUAGGAGGAACACCAGUGGCGAAGGCGGCCUGCUGGACGAUGACUGACGUUGAGGCUCGAAAGCGUGGGGAGCAAACAGGAUUAGAUACCCGUGUA
Molecule: ribosomal RNA, 444 nt
Filed under: uncultured bacterium
Lineage: Bacteria
Description: partial 16S ribosomal RNA
Rfam family: Bacterial small subunit ribosomal RNA
Source: RNAcentral